Molecule: ribosomal RNA, 459 nt
Filed under: uncultured bacterium
Lineage: Bacteria
Description: partial 16S ribosomal RNA
Rfam family: Bacterial small subunit ribosomal RNA
Source: RNAcentral
CCUACGGGAGGCAGCAGUGAGGAAUAUUGGUCAAUGGGCGCGAGCCUGAACCAGCCAAGUCGCGUGAGGGAAGACGGUCCUAUGGAUUGUAAACCUCUUUUGUCGGGGAGCAAAAGACGCCACGCGUGGCGUUCUGAGAGUACCCGAAGAAAAAGCAUCCGCUAACUCCGUGCCAGCAGCCGCGGUAAUACGGAGGAUGCGAGCGUUAUCCGGAUUUAUUGGGUUUAAAGGGUGCGCAGGCGGAAGAUCAAGUCAGCGGUAAAAUUGAGAGGCUCAACCUCUUCGAGCCGUUGAAACUGGUUUUCUUGAGUGAGUGAGAAGUAUGCGGAAUGCGUGGUGUAGCGGUGAAAUGCAUAGAUAUCACGCAGAACUCCGAUUGCGAAGGCAGCAUACCGGCGCUCAACUGACGCUCAUGCACGAAAGUGUGGGUAUCGAACAGGAUUAGAUACCCCUGUAGUC